Molecule: ribosomal RNA, 645 nt
Filed under: Bacillus sp. A24MG104
Lineage: Bacteria; Bacillati; Bacillota; Bacilli; Caryophanales; Bacillaceae
Description: bacterial SSU rRNA
Rfam family: Bacterial small subunit ribosomal RNA
Source: RNAcentral
UGGGAUAACUCCGGGAAACCGGGCUAAUACCGAAUUAUUCAUUUCCUCUCAUGUGGAAAUGUAAAAAGACGGUUUCGGCUGUCACUACAGGGAUGGGCUCGCGGGCGCAUUAGCUAGUUGGUGAGGUAACGGCUCACCAAGGCGACGAUGCGUAGCCGACCUGAGAGGGUGAUCGGCCACACUGGGACUGAGACACGGCCCAGACUCCUACGGGAGGCAGCAGUAGGGAAUCUUCCACAAUGGACGAAAGUCUGAUGGAGCAAUGCCGCGUGAGUGAAGAAGGUUUUCGGAUCGUAAAACUCUGUUGUGAGGGAAGAACAAGUACGAGAGUAACUGCUCGUACCUUGACGGUACCUCAUUAGAAAGCCACGGCUAACUACGUGCCAGCAGCCGCGGUAAUACGUAGGUGGCAAGCGUUGUCCGGAAUUAUUGGGCGUAAAGCGCGCGCAGGCGGUCCUUUAAGUCUGAUGUGAAAUCCCACGGCUCAACCGUGGAAGGUCAUUGGAAACUGGGGGACUUGAGUACAGAAGAGGAAAGCGGAAUUCCAAGUGUAGCGGUGAAAUGCGUAGAGAUUUGGAGGGACACCAGUGGCGAAGGCGGCUUUCUGGUCUGUAACUGACGCUGAGGCGCGAAAGCGUGGGGAGC